ACUCCUCUUGGAGCCCUUCUAUGAGCCCAGGGUGAGACGGCUGCAGAGACAAGCAAAAGGAGACAGUCCUGUGACUCCCAGGCAGUUUUAUCUUCUCUAAACAGAAAAUGGAAACGGAAUAGUGAAGUCUUCUGGGAGUUGUAGUUCAUUCUUCUCUUCUGAGACCAGCGCCUGUAUCUCAAAUAAAGGCAGAGGAAGAACCAUCUGCAAACCUCCCCCAUCGCAGCGGCAUGCAGGGCUGACUCAGCUCUGGCAGCAAGCAUGAGAGCAAGAAGCCACCUUGCACAGCUCUCUGCUCCCUCUGCCAAUGCAGCACUGGGCUCAGCUCAGCUCAUCUCAGGAAAGACUUCUCCUGCAGCCCUGGGCACUGGGCUUCCUCCCACAGUUCCCCUGAGAUGUGCCAUUUUGCUACAUGUGGAUGUGAUGUGGCAUCAUUCUGCUUCUUGCUUCUCUUUAAAAGCAACUUCAGGUUUGAGAAAUGACAACAAACGCUCCCUAAGAGCUGGACAAUGUUAUGAUACCUUAACUGUGGCACAGGGAAUUUGCAGAACCUUCCUGUGCAGGCACUGCAGGAGAGCCUACUCUCCAAACAGCCAAGGGAGCAAGAUUUAAAUGCAAACGUAGCCCAAGCUGCCCAGAACAGGGCAGAAAGAGUGCAGAUCUGUACCACGCUGUGGUUUUUCCACUCAGUGGAGUCCUGACAGGGUGCUCUGAUGGUCAUCCAACAGCAGAAACACGUCCUAGGGGUGG
Molecule: long non-coding RNA, 750 nt
Organism: Gallus gallus (chicken)
Lineage: Eukaryota; Metazoa; Chordata; Aves; Galliformes; Phasianidae
Source: Ensembl